GCGUGAUUUAUGGGGAGCCUGGAUAUUUCGGCUGAGAGGAGGCGCGGCCUCGACCCGAUGAACCUGAUGUGGGUAAUGCCACCGUAGGGAGAAUAGCUCGAAUUCAG
Molecule: non-coding RNA, 107 nt
Organism: Synergistes sp. 3_1_syn1
Lineage: Bacteria; Thermotogati; Synergistota; Synergistia; Synergistales; Synergistaceae
Source: Rfam